AGGCCGUGUCAGGUGCACUUUG
Molecule: microRNA, 22 nt
Filed under: Blattella germanica (German cockroach)
Lineage: Eukaryota; Metazoa; Arthropoda; Insecta; Blattodea; Blattellidae
Description: Bge-Mir-92-P4_5p* (star (passenger))
Source: RNAcentral